GCAACAGCUCAAAUUUGAAAUCUGGCUCACGCCCGAGUUGUAAUUUGUAGAGGAUGUUUCGGGUGAAGCCACGGUCCAAGUCCCUUGGAACAGGACGUCAGAGAGGGUGAGAACCCCGUACCUGGCCGUCGGUGCCCCCCGCUGUGAAACUCCUUCGACGAGUCGAGUUGUUUGGGAAUGCAGCUCUAAAUUGGUGGUAAAUUCCAUCUAAAGCUAAAUACCGGCCAGAGACCGAUAGCGCACAAGUAGAGUGAUCGAAAGAUGAAAAGCACUUUGAAAAGAGAGUUAAAAAGUACGUGAAAUUGUUGAAAGGGAAGCGCUUGCGGCCAGACUUGCCCGCGGUUGCUCAACCCGCCUUCUGGCGGGUGCACUCUUCCGCGGUCAGGCCAGCAUCGGUUUGGGCGGUCGGAUAAAGGCGCCGGGAACGUAGCCUCCUCUCGGGGAGGUGUUAUAGCCCGGCGUGCAAUGCGGCCAGCCCGGACCGAGGUUCGCGCUCUGCUAGGAUGCUGGCGUAAUGGCCGUAAGCGGCCCGUCUUGAAACACGGACCAAGGAGUCUAACAUCUAUGCGAGUGUUUGGGUGUCAAACCCGUGCGCGUAAUGAAAGUGAACGGAGGUGGGAACCCGCAAGGGCGCACCAUCGACCGAUCCUGAUGUCUUCGGAAGGAUUUGAGUAAGAGCAUAGCUGUUGGGACCCGAAAGAUGGUGAACUAUGCGUGAAUAGGGUGAAGCCAGAGGAAACUCUGGUGGAGGCUCGCAGCGGUUCUGACGUGCAAAUCGA
RNAcentral lists this ribosomal RNA (779 nucleotides) under Fraxinicola italica. Its description in RNAcentral is "partial large subunit ribosomal RNA". It matches the Rfam family "Eukaryotic large subunit ribosomal RNA", at positions 101 to 901 of the family's 3401-position model. Lineage: Eukaryota; Fungi; Ascomycota; Dothideomycetes; Venturiales; Venturiaceae. The record is from RNAcentral.